Molecule: ribosomal RNA, 140 nt
Filed under: uncultured eukaryote
Lineage: Eukaryota
Description: partial 18S ribosomal RNA
Rfam family: Eukaryotic small subunit ribosomal RNA
Source: RNAcentral
UGGUGGAGUGAUUUGUCUGGUUAAUUCCGUUAACGAACGAGACCUCGACCUGCUAACUAGUUGCUAUUAUGCUUGUCAUAGUAGAGACUUCUUAGAGGGACUAUCGGAUUCUCAGCCGAUGGAAGUACGAGGCAAUAACA